AAUGGGCGAAAGCCUGACGCAGCAACGCCGCGUGAGUGAAGAAGGCCUUUGGGUUGUAAAGCUCUUUCGACUGGGAAGAAGGGUCGUAUGGUGAAUAAUCAUACGAUUUGACGGUACCAGGAGAAGAAGCCACGGCUAACUUCGUGCCAGCAGCCGCGGUAAUACGAAGGUGGCGAGCGUUGUUCGGAAUCAUUGGGCGUAAAGGGCGCGUAGGCGGGCUUAUAAGUCGAUUGUGAAAUCCCUGGGCUUAACCCGGGAAUUGCAGUCGAAACUGCAAGUCUUGAAUUCUCGAGAGGGUGGUGGAAUUCCUGGAGUAGUAGUGAAAUACGUAGAUAUCAGGAGGAACACCGGAGGCGAAGGCGGCCACCUGGCGAGAUAUUGACGCUGAUGUGCGAAAGUGCGGGGAUCAAA
This 411-nucleotide ribosomal RNA is filed under the name uncultured bacterium. RNAcentral's name for it is "bacterial SSU rRNA". It matches the Rfam family "Bacterial small subunit ribosomal RNA", at positions 370 to 772 of the family's 1533-position model. The record is from RNAcentral.